AAAAGCUCGUAGUUGGAUCUCAGCUCCGGCCGGACGGUCCGCCUACCGGUGGUCACUGUUCGUYGCCGAGCGUUSAGGCGGUUAUUCUUGAUGAUCUUCACCGGUUGUCUCGGGUGACCGCCAAGUUUACUUUGAAAAAAUUAGAGUGCUCAAAGCAGGCGCGACGCCUGAAUAAUCGUGCAUGGAAUAAUGGAAUAGGACCUCGGUUCUAUUUUGUUGGUUUUCGGAACACGAGGUAAUGAUUAAGAGGGACAGACGGGGGCAUUCGUAUUGCGACGCUAGAGGUGAAAUUCUUGGACCGUCGCAAGACGAACUACUGCGAAAGCAUUUGCCAAGAAUGUUUCCAUUAAUCAAGAACGAAAGUUAGAGGUUCGAAGGCGAUCAGAUACCGCCCUAGUUCUAACCAUAAACGAUGCCAGCCAGUAUUCCGCCUGUGUUCCUCAAAUGACACGGCGGGCGACUUCCGGGAAACCAAAGCUUUUGGGUUCCGGGGGAAGUAUGGUUGCAAAGCUGAAACUUAAAGGAAUUGACGGAAGGGCACCACCAGGAAUGGAGCAUGCGGCUUAAUUUGACUCAACACGGGGAAACUUACCCGGCCCGGACACAGGAAGGAUUGACAGAUUAAGAGCUCUUUCUUGAUUCUGUGGGUGGUGGUGCAUGGUCGUUCUUAGUUGGUGGGGUGACUUGUCUGGUUAAUUCCGAUAACGAACGAGACUCUAGCCUACUAAAUAGACGUUUCCGAUCCUCUUUGAGUCGGACGCUCUUCUUAGAGGGAUAAGCGGCGUUUAGCCGCACGAGACAGAGCAAUAACAGGUCUGAGAUGCCCUUAGAUGUCCGGGGCCGCACGCGCGCUACAUUGAAGGAAUCAGCGUGUGCUUUCCCUGUCCGAAAGGACUGGGUAACCCGUUGAACCUCCUUCGUGCUGGGGAUUGGCGCCUGUAAUUACUCGCCAUGAACGAGGAAUUCCCAGUAAGCACGAGUCAUCAGCUCGUGUUGAUUACGUCCCUGCCCUUUGUCCACACCGCCCGUCGCUACUACCGAUUGAAUGAUUUAGUGAGGUCUUCGGACUGGCGCUCGGAUUGGCCUUCGCGGUCGAGCCGGCGUGCCGGAAAGAUGACCAAACUUGAUCAUUUAGAGGAAGUAAAAGUCGUAACAAGGUUUU
RNAcentral lists this ribosomal RNA (1162 nucleotides) under Araneus mulierarius. RNAcentral's name for it is "SSU rRNA". It matches the Rfam family "Eukaryotic small subunit ribosomal RNA", at positions 624 to 1823 of the family's 1831-position model. The record is from RNAcentral. Lineage: Eukaryota; Metazoa; Arthropoda; Arachnida; Araneae; Araneidae.